CAGACUACAAGAGUAUUGGGGAUGUGAGAAGGGUUAUUGGGGGAGGUAGGGGGCAAACCAGGGAUAAGGAGGCUGUAGAAAUGGAUGCAAAGGGUUCUUGAGUUAAAUAUGAUGGGGAUUUUGCAGUCCUUAAGGUGGAUUCAGCUGUGAGAAAAGAUCUGUGGCUGAGGUAUUUCAUCAUGCAGCUAGGAGGGAAGAGUUGAAAGUACGGAUCCCUGCUCCCAGGAUAGCAGGCACCCUGAUGGCUAAGACUCUCCACACAAAGGGAGCCAAAUUAUGAGCUUUUUCACAUUGCUUUAAUUGAUCCCCAUCUGGUAGCACCUGAUCUUUGCCAGAAGAGAAG
Molecule: long non-coding RNA, 343 nt
Filed under: Struthio camelus australis
Lineage: Eukaryota; Metazoa; Chordata; Aves; Struthioniformes; Struthionidae
Description: lncRNA (ENSSCUG00000007098.1)
Source: RNAcentral